This 1155-nucleotide long non-coding RNA is filed under the name Homo sapiens (human). RNAcentral's name for it is "novel transcript". The record is from RNAcentral. Lineage: Eukaryota; Metazoa; Chordata; Mammalia; Primates; Hominidae.
AGACACAGAAUUUGCUGGCACCUGGAUUUUGGACUUUCCAGUCUUAUGAACUGAUUAGCUCAAAUUCUUCUUGGAAGGGCUUGCAAGGUUUGCAGGAGGGUGCACAGUCGAUCUGGGGAGAGAAGUAAACACAAGCAAUGAAGAUAGUGGAGUGGCCUGGACGGGAAGCUUCUUUUACAAAGGAAGGAUGACAAGAGCCCACAGUUCUUAUUGUGUAGGUAAAAUGAGCCAGGGGCCAUGCCAACCGCAUCACAUGGAUUAUCACCUUGGAUUUUAACAGUAAGCCAAAGUAACAGGGAACCGUUGAAUGGCUCUAAGAAGAGGAACAACAUGAUUUGACUUAGGUUUUUGAGGGAUCUCUCCAGCUACAGAUUGAAGAAUGAUUGUAAAGAGGGUGAGUGGAAACAGGAGGCCUGGUUCAUCCUCUCAACUCUCUAUUUGUGUCCAGUCAAAAUUCGCAAUGCCAACACAAUAGUUUCUAGUCCCAUGAUCCACUGAGAAAAACAUGGAUUCUUUAAAAGUAAGUGGCAAAGUACCCCUGAUUUUGAAACAUGUAUGGUCGUGAUAUCAAGAGUGACAACCUGGGCAAAAGAGAGCCAUUGCAAAGAAGAAAGGCCUUUAGGGAAAUGGAGCAGAAAGAGGAAGCAGUCUCUGUUUACCCUGCUUCUCCAGCCUGAGUUCCUUUUUUUUCUCCAUUCUGCUUGUUGAACUCCUGCCAAACUCCGAUUUUGACAUCAAAGCCCACCUUGAAUGCUGCUUGUCGCUAAAGCCAUCGCUGGCAUUUCCAGACAUUGUCAAUAUCUACUGGACUAAAGAAAUUCUCUACUAAUCAGAAAAGGAAUUGGUCUGUAUUGAAGCUGGAAAGAAAAUCAGAGGAGCCAAUGCUGUCAGAGUGCAUCCAAGGACCAUUUAAAGAUGUCCUGGCCGGAGGUCUGGGCUGUCAGGUCCUGCCAGCAGAAUGAAGAGGACAUGGAGGCAUUUUCAGAUGAAGAGAAACUAACAGGAUUUUUCAGCAGACUUACUCUAAAUGAAUGGCUACAGGAAAUACUAUAAAAAUAAAGGAAAUGAUAAAAGAAGAAACUUUGUAACAUCAAGAAAGAAGGAAGAACCACCAGUAAACAAAAAUAUGGGUAAAUAAAAUAAAAUUUUUUUUAA